Molecule: non-coding RNA, 423 nt
Organism: Danio rerio (zebrafish)
Lineage: Eukaryota; Metazoa; Chordata; Actinopteri; Cypriniformes; Danionidae
Source: RefSeq, a predicted model, not a curated record
CUUAUGGGCUAUAUGCACGCAUUACUUCCGCGUUUUGUCUAAGGCCGCGGUCCAGCUUCCGGUCUGGGUGAUUUUAAGCGGAGGUAAACAGUAUUAUGGCAGAGUCGUCAAUAUUUACUCGCUGUUUGCGAGUAAAUUAUGGUCAACGAUGUGCAAAUGCUUGUCCCGAUGUGCUCUACAACACCGCAGAGCAAAGCUUGAGAAAGGUUUCAAGUUUUAUGCAUCUUCCUACCUGUGCAAUUAUGAAGGUAACAUUAUGAGAUUCAGAGCUAGAAAAUUUUAUAUGUUACUUCAUCCUGGAGCGGACAUCCGUCAGAAGAUCCAUGCCAUCGUCUGCUAGUUAAUAGCUCCUGCUCUUGUGUGGCUGAGAGUGGGAUAUGCAAACAUUUGGUUGCUUUGCUUUUCCAGACAGCCCAUUACUCU